GAGUGGCAAUAUGGUGCCAGUAGACAGGAUGUUGUGUGAGGGUACAGGAGCAGAUGCAUCCCAUUGGGGUACUCAACUGCCAGUGGAAUUAGUACAUGGAAUCUAGAAUACAUAGGAAUCAGUUUAUGGGAAUCGAGGUGCCAUUUUGUCCUUCACCUCCUCCAUCAAAAUGUCUUGCUUUGCCCCGGACACAGAGAAAAAUAAUUUAAUUUACUACAGAAUACUGGCAAAGGACAGAUAUUAUCUUCCAGUCAAAAUUCUUAUAAGGAAACAUGUUCAAGCUUAGCAAUUUGUCAAUAGGCGUCUGCCUUACCAUGCAAUCCCAGUUCAUCAUCCCGCACCGCCACUGAAGUCACAAUGAGGUCAUGCUAUCGAUACUGGGCACCUUGGUCUGACCUCAGGUGGUCUGCGGGGACCACAUGGGAAGGCAGCUGCCUGCCACCACUACAGAAAAAGCUGAACACCUGGAGCAAAAGGUAAAAUUUUUAAAUAUGGGUUAAGGGGAGGAAAAGUUGAAUUAGGUGCAACUGUCAUAUAGACAGUCUGUGCCCGAUUCUGGGGUUUGGCUCUGCAUCAUGUAAACAGCACAAAGCAAGCCUGGGAGGAAUUCAGAGUGUUGACAAGCCCUUAUUCUUGGUCAGAGUAGGAAUCAUGCAAAAUGCAGCCCAGCAACACUUUGAGAUGCUUGGGAAACAUUAUUUCCCACUCCUGCUGUAUUGUAUCAGUUCUUUUGCUUGUUUUGUUUUUAGUUUACCAUGAUUUGGGAUUUUGCCUCCAUACCGUUUUAUAGAAUUUAUUCAUUGGCCAGUUAAAUCCAUGCUGCUUCCUUUGGCAUGCUGGCUUUGGGGAUAUGUAGCCUCCAAAGUAGCUUUUCCAUGCACUCCCUGAGCUGGCACAUGGAAACAGAUACUUCCUUGUUAUUGGCUGGGAAUUUUGCAAAUUG
This is a long non-coding RNA of Sceloporus undulatus (fence lizard), 943 nucleotides long. RefSeq lists it as uncharacterized. Lineage: Eukaryota; Metazoa; Chordata; Lepidosauria; Squamata; Phrynosomatidae. The transcript is spliced from 3 exons. The record is from RefSeq and is a predicted model, not a curated record.